This 466-nucleotide ribosomal RNA is filed under the name uncultured bacterium. Its description in RNAcentral is "partial 16S ribosomal RNA". It matches the Rfam family "Bacterial small subunit ribosomal RNA", at positions 29 to 507 of the family's 1533-position model. The record is from RNAcentral.
ACGCACGCUGGCGGCGUGCUUAACACCUGCCAGUCGAACGGAAAGGCCCUGCUUUUGUGGGGUGCUCGAGUGGCGAACGGGUGAGUAACACGUGAGUAACCUGCCCUUGACUUUGGGAUAACUUCAGGAAACUGGGGCUAAUACCGGAUAGGAGCUCCUGCUGCAUGGUGGGGGUUGGAAAGUUUCGGCGGUUGGGGAUGGACUCGCGGCUUAUCAGCUUGUUGGUGGGGUAGUGGCUUACCAAGGCUUUGACGGGUAGCCGGCCUGAGAGGGUGACCGGCCACAUUGGGACUGAGAUACGGCCCAGACUCCUACGGGAGGCAGCAGUGGGGAAUAUUGCACAAUGGGCGGAAGCCUGAUGCAGCAACGCCGCGUGCGGGAUGACGGCCUUCGGGUUGUAAACCGCUUUCGCCUGUGACGAAGCGUGAGUGACGGUAAUGGGUAAGAAGCACCGGCUAACUACGUG